CCUACGGGUGGCAGCAGUGAGGAAUAUUGGUCAAUGGGCGCGAGCCUGAACCAGCCAAGUCGCGUGCGGGAAGACGGCCCUACGGGUUGUAAACCUCUUUUGCCCGAGAGCAACGCGCGCCACGUGUGGCGCCCCUGAGAGUACCCGGAGAAAAAGCAUCGCCUAACUCCGGGCCACCAGCCACGGUAAUACGGAGGAUGCGAGCGUUAUCCGGAUUUUUUGGGUUUAAAGGGUGCGUAGGCGGAGCGUUAAGUCGAGGGUAAAAGUGAGGGGCUCAACCCGUUACCGCCAUUGAUACUGUCGCUCGUGAGAGGAAGAGAAGUAUGCGGAAUGCGUGGUGUAGCGGUGAAAUGCAUAGAUAUCACACAGAACCCCGAUUGCGAAGGCAGCAUGCCGGCUUCCGACUGACGCUGAAGCACGAAAGCGUGGGGAUCGAACAGGAUUAGAUACCCGGGUAGUC
RNAcentral lists this ribosomal RNA (460 nucleotides) under uncultured bacterium. RNAcentral describes it as "partial 16S ribosomal RNA". It matches the Rfam family "Bacterial small subunit ribosomal RNA", at positions 338 to 795 of the family's 1533-position model. The record is from RNAcentral.